Ursus americanus (American black bear) is the source of this 316-nucleotide unclassified non-coding RNA. Its record names the gene 7SK. It matches the Rfam family "7SK RNA". Rfam says of the family: 7SK was discovered as an abundant small nuclear RNA in the mid-70s but a possible function has only recently been suggested. Two independent studies have found that 7SK RNA binds the CDK9/cyclin T complex (known as elongation factor P-TEFb). Lineage: Eukaryota; Metazoa; Chordata; Mammalia; Carnivora; Ursidae. The record is from Ensembl.
GGAUGUGAGGGCGAUCUGGCUGUGACAUUGAUCACCCCAUUGAUCGCCAGGGUUGAUCCCACUGAUCUGGCUGGCUAGGCGGGUGUCCCCUUCCUCCCUCACCACUCCACGUGCGUCCCUCCCGAAGCUGCGCGCUCAGUCGAAGAGGACGACCUUCCCUGAUAGAGAAGGACCGUUCUUCGGUCAAGGGUAUACAAGUAGCUGCGCUCCCCUGCUAGAACCUCCAAACAAGCUCUCAAAGAAGUUCCUUUAACAUUUCUUGUAAGGGUGUUUUAGUGAUGAUAAACUUCUUUGAGUUUUGUCUGCGACACUCUUU